This 253-nucleotide ribosomal RNA is filed under the name uncultured bacterium. RNAcentral describes it as "partial 16S ribosomal RNA". It matches the Rfam family "Bacterial small subunit ribosomal RNA", at positions 524 to 776 of the family's 1533-position model. The record is from RNAcentral.
UACGUAGGGUGCAAGCGUUGUCCGGAAUCAUUGGGCGUAAAGCGCGCGUAGGCGGCCCUGCAAGUCCGUUGUGAAAGUCAAAGGCUCAACCUUUGAAAGCCGAUGGAUACUGCAGGGCUAGAGUCCGGAAGAGGAGAGUGGAAUUCCUGGUGUAGCGGUGGAAUGCGCAGAUAUCAGGAGGAACACCAAUAGCGAAGGCAGCUCGCUGGGACGGUACUGACGCUAAGGCGCGAAAGCGUGGGGAGCGAACAGG